AAUUCUCAACUACACUGAUUUUGUUAGUGUAGAUUGGAUUUGGGGGAACAUCUUUUGCGGGCUUUGUAAACAUGAAGUCGGCUCCCCUGAAAUUGAUUUAGCGGUACCUUGGCAGAACCGUCUACAGGUGUGAUAAUUUAUCUACAUCUUUGAUGUCUGCAUGAAAAGGUCAUGCUGCUUCCUAACCUCACUCCUUAUUUAAAGGGGUGCACUAGUGACAA
RNAcentral lists this unclassified non-coding RNA (221 nucleotides) under uncultured Inocybe. RNAcentral describes it as "sequence contains ITS2". Lineage: Eukaryota; Fungi; Basidiomycota; Agaricomycetes; Agaricales; Cortinariaceae. The record is from RNAcentral.